CCCAAGAUGUGAGCUUUUUACAUAAUGAAAGAACCCAGCAAUUCUGUCUCUUAAUGCGAUGACACUAUUCAUAGACUUUGAUUUUAUUUAUAAGCCACUUGCUGCAUGACCCUCCGAGUAGACCUGUGGCUUAAAAUAAAGAAAAUGCAGCAAAAAGAAUGCUAUAGAAAUAUUUGGUGGUUUUUUUUUUUUUUUUUUUUUUUUUUUUUUUUUUUUAACAUCCACAGUUAAGGUUGGACCAGCUACCUUUGGGGCUGACCCCCUCCAUUGCCAUAACAUCCUGCUGCAUUGCCUCUAAGAUGUAGGAAGAAUUUGGAUCCUCACCAUUGGAAUCUUCCAUCAAACAUAUUCAAACACUAUUGGACCAGGAUUUGAGUCUCUGCAUGACAUAUACUUGAUUAAAAGGUUAUUACUAACCUGUUACAAAUGAACAGCUCUUUGAUUUUAACGGACACCCCAAAAGUCUUCUUGUCUACAUAGUAGAAGACGGCAACACCUUCACUGAAUGUUUGAAUAGAAACUUCUACUAAAUUAUUAAAAUAGACAUUUAGUGUUCUCACAGCUUAGAUAUUUUUCUGAAAAGUAUUUGCCAAAACUGAAAUCCUUCAGAUAUUUUCCUUUGUCCCACUAGUUAUGAUGACUUUCUGUCUGGAUCUUACAGGGAAGGAUACUUUCUUUUUUCUUCCAUCUUUCCUUUUUAUAUUUUUUACUUUGUCAUACCUGCCUGUAUAUUUUAUACACUGAGGGUAGCCCAUUUAUAAAUUAAGAGCACAUUAAAUUCAGAAGGUUCUAACAGGGCUGGUCUUAAGUGAACCACUAUGUAUAUAAAUAUGUUAGAAAACAGCUGUAUACAUUUUUGGGCAACGGUUAUGCAUAAUAUUUACCAGGAGAAUUUUUUUCUUAAAGAGCCAACAUUUAAAAUUUUUUUUUUUUUUUUUUUUUUUUUUUGAGAUGGCAUCUUGUUCUGUCACUGAGGCUGGAGUGCAGUGGUGUGAUCUCGGCUCACUGUAACCUACCCUCCCAGGUUCAAGCGAUUCUCUUGCCUCAGCUUCCUGAGUACCUGGGAUUACAGGCAUACGCCACUACACCCGGCUAAUUUUUGUAUUUUUAGUAGAGACGAGGUUUCACCAUGUUGGUCAGGCUGGUCUCGAACUCUUGACCUCGUGAUCUGCCCGCCUCCACCUCCCAAAGUGCUGGGAUUACAGGCAUGAGCCACCAUGCCCAGCCUGUUGUUGAGUUUUUAAAAUAAGUAUCCUGCAACUUUACCAAACUCAUUUAUUGGUUCUAACCGUUCUUUAGAGUCUUUGGGGUUUUCUAUAUAUAAAAUGAUGUUGUCUUCAAACAGGGACAAUUUAACUGUCUUUCCAAUUUGAAUGCCUUUUAUUUCUUGACUGGGACUUCCAGUCAAGAAAAGUAAAACAGAAGUGACAAGAAUGGGCAUCUUUGUCUUGUUCCUGAUUUAUUUUACAGAAAAAGCUUUC
Molecule: long non-coding RNA, 1481 nt
Filed under: Papio anubis (olive baboon)
Lineage: Eukaryota; Metazoa; Chordata; Mammalia; Primates; Cercopithecidae
Description: lncRNA (ENSPANG00000042390.1)
Source: RNAcentral